Molecule: non-coding RNA, 28 nt
Filed under: Homo sapiens (human)
Lineage: Eukaryota; Metazoa; Chordata; Mammalia; Primates; Hominidae
Source: RNAcentral
AUUGGAUAUUCCGAAUGCUAUCACAGGG